Molecule: ribosomal RNA, 468 nt
Filed under: uncultured bacterium
Lineage: Bacteria
Description: partial 16S ribosomal RNA
Rfam family: Bacterial small subunit ribosomal RNA
Source: RNAcentral
GACGAACGCUGGCGGCGCGCUUAACACAUGCAAGUCGAACGGAAAGGCCCUGCUUUUGUGGGGUGCUCGAGUGGCGAACGGGUGAGUAACACGUGAGUAACCUGCCCUUGACUUUGGGAUAACUUCAGGAAACUGGGGCUAAUACCGGAUAGGAGCUCCUGCUGCAUGGUGGGGGUUGGAAAGUUUCGGCGGUUGGGGAUGGACUCGCGGCUUAUCAGCUUGUUGGUGGGGUAGUGGCUUACCAAGGCUUUGACGGGUAGCCGGCCUGAGAGGGUGACCGGCCACAUUGGGACUGAGAUACGGCCCAGACUCCUACGGGAGGCAGCAGUGGGGAAUAUUGCACAAUGGGUGGAAGCCUGAUGCAGCAACGCCGCGUGCGGGAUGACGGCCUUCGGGUUGUAAACCGCUUUCGCCUGUGACGAAGCGUGAGUGACGGUAAUGGGUAAAGAAGCACCGGCUAACUACGUG